GCUUGUCUCAAAGAUUAAGCCAUGCAUGUUCAAGUAUAGCAAGUGUACAGUGAAACUGCGAAUGGCUCAUUAAAUCAGUUAUAAUUUAUUUGAUAGUGAAAUUGUACAUGGAUAACCGUGGCAAUUCUAGGGCUAAUACAUGCGUCAAUGGUCGGUCGACCAGUAUUUAUUAGAUACAAAACCAAACGGCUUCGGCCGUCUCAUUGGUGACUCUGAAUAACUUUGGGCUGAUCGUAUGGCCUUGUGCCGACGACGUUUCCUUCGAAGGUGUGCCCUAUCAACUGUCGACUGUGAUAUAGACGCUCACAGUGGUUUUGACGGGUAACGGGGAAUCAGGGUUCGAUUCCGGAGAGGGAGCCUUAAAAACGGCUACCACAUCCAAGGAAGGCAGCAGG
Molecule: ribosomal RNA, 395 nt
Filed under: uncultured fungus
Lineage: Eukaryota; Fungi
Description: partial small subunit ribosomal RNA
Rfam family: Eukaryotic small subunit ribosomal RNA
Source: RNAcentral